This 1927-nucleotide ribosomal RNA is filed under the name human gut metagenome. Its description in RNAcentral is "bacterial LSU rRNA". It matches the Rfam family "Bacterial large subunit ribosomal RNA", at positions 3 to 1973 of the family's 2925-position model. The record is from RNAcentral.
UCAAGUGACUAAGUGCAUGUGGCGGAUGCCUUGGCGAUCACAGGCGAAGAAAGACGCGGCAGCCUGCGAAAAGCUGCGGGGAGCUGGCAAACGAGCUUUGAUCCGCAGAUAUCUGAAUGGGGGAACCCACACCGCAAGGUGUAUCCGUAACUGAAUACAUAGGUUACGGAGGCGAACGAGGAGAACUGAAACAUCUAAGUAUCCUCAGGAAAAGAAAUCAACCGAGAUUCCGGCAGUAGCGGCGAGCGAACCCGGAGGAGCCUAGCUUUUGAUAGUACGAACUUUAGCCGAAAGGUCCUGGAAAGGCCUGCUAUAGUGGGUGAUAGCCCCGUAGGCGAAAGAGUUGGUACGGUACUAAGGAAGCGAGAAGUAGAGCGGGACACGUGGAAUCCUGUUCGAAGACGGGGGGACCAUCCUCCAAGGCUAAAUACUCGUGAUCGACCGAUAGUGAACCAGUACCGUGAGGGAAAGGCGAAAAGAACCCCGGGAGGGGAGUGAAAUAGAACCUGAAACCGCAUGCAUACAAACAGUAGGAGCCUCGUCAGAGGUGACUGCGUACCUUUUGCAUAAUGGGUCAGCGACUUACAUUCUGUGGCGAGCUUAACCGAAUAGGGGAGGCGCAGCGAAAGCGAGUUCGAAAUGAGCGUCCAGUCGCAGGGUGUAGACCCGAAACCAGAUGAGCUAUCCAUGGCCAGGUUGAAGGUGUGGUAACACACACUGGAGGACCGAACCGACUAGUGUUGCAAAAUUAGCGGAUGAGCUGUGGAUAGGGGUGAAAGGCCAAACAAAUCUGGAGAUAGCUGGUUCUCCCCGAAAACUAUUGAGGUAGUGCCUCGUGUGUCGCUCCAGGGGGUAGAGCACUGUUUUGGCUAGGGGGACAUGGAGUCUUACCAAACCAAGGCAAACUCCGAAUACCUGGAAGCGUAAGCACGGGAGACAGAGCACCGGGUGCUAACGUCCGGACUCAAAAGGGAAACAACCCAGACCGCCGGCUAAGGUCCCAAAUAACAGCUAAGUGGAAAACGAAGUGGAAAGGCCGUGACAACCAGGAAGUUGGCUUAGAAGCAGCCAUCCUUCAAAGAAAGCGUAAUAGCUCACUGGUCGAGUCCUUCUGCGCGGAAGAUGUAACGGGGCUAAGCUGUUAACCGAAGCCGCGGAUGCACUGGUUAUCCAGUGCGUGGUAGGGGAGCGUUCUGUAAGUCUGCGAAGGCGGUUCGAGAGGACUGCUGGAGAUAUCAGAAGUGCGAAUGCUGACAUGAGUAACGUUAAAGCAGGUGAAAAGCCUGCUCGCCGUAAGCCCAAGGAUUCCUGCUCUACGUUCAUCGGAGCAGGGUGAGUCGGCUCCUAAGGUCAGGCCGAAAGGCGUAGCCGAUGGGAAUCAGGUUAAUAUUCCUGAACCUGCGUCAGAUGCGAUGGGGGGACGGAGCAUGGAAGAUCAUCCGGGUGUUGGAAGUCCCGGUUGUUGAGCGUAGGAGGUCUGCAGGCAAAUCCGCAGACGCAUCUCCAAGGCAAAGACACGUGCCGCCACGGCGGCGAAGUGAUCGGAAGUGCUUCCAAGAAAAGCCUCUAAGCCCCAGUCUGACGCGGACCGUACCGCAAACCGACACUGGUGGGCGAGCUGAAUAUGCUCAGGCGCUUGAGAGAACUCGGGAGAAGGAACUCGGCAAAUUGACACCGUAACUUCGGAAGAAGGUGUGCCGUAGUACCGUGAGAGGAGAGACACCUUGAGCGGGAAACGGUCUCAGAGAAUAGGUGGCUGCGACUGUUUAUUAAAAACACAGCACUCUGCAAAGUCGAAAGACGACGUAUAGGGUGUGAUGCCUGCCCGGUGCUGGAAGAUUAAUUGAUGGGGUGAGAGCCCUUGAUCGAAGUCCCAGUAAACGGCGGCCGUAACUAUAACGGUCCUAAGGUAGCGAAAUUCCUUGUC